Molecule: ribosomal RNA, 465 nt
Filed under: Vreelandella stevensii
Lineage: Bacteria; Pseudomonadati; Pseudomonadota; Gammaproteobacteria; Oceanospirillales; Halomonadaceae
Description: partial 16S ribosomal RNA
Rfam family: Bacterial small subunit ribosomal RNA
Source: RNAcentral
CCUACGGGAGGCUGCAGUGGGGAAUAUUGGACAAUGGGGGGAACCCUGUUCCAGCCAUGCCGCGUGUGUGAAGAAGGCCCUCGGGUUGUAAAGCACUUUCAGUGAGGAAGAACGCCUGGUGGUUAAUACCCAUCAGGAAAGACAUCACUCACAGAAGAAGCACCGGCUAACUCCGUGCCAGCAGCCGCGGUAAUACGGAGGGUGCGAGCGUUAAUCGGAAUUACUGGGCGUAAAGCGCGCGUAGGUGGCUUGAUAAGCCGGUUGUGAAAGCCCCGGGCUCAACCUGGGAACGGCAUCCGGAACUGUCAAGCUAGAGUGCAGGAGAGGAAGGUAGAAUUCCCGGUGUAGCGGUGAAAUGCGUAGAGAUCGGGAGGAAUACCAGUGGCGAAGGCGGCCUUCUGGACUGACACUGACACUGAGGUGCGAAAGCGUGGGUAGCAAACAGGAUUAGAUACCCUUGUAGUC